CCUGGUCAACAGUGUGCAAGAAUAUUUCACCAUCAGUAACUGGAUAUUCCUCAGAGCAUUGUUGUCUGUGGCUGGUGGUGAGAGUAGCAGUGGUUGGCACUUUUCCUCCACAUUCUGAAAGAGAAUUGGCUGAAAUAAAACCUUGCUUUCCAUAUGGUCGACUUGAAAUACACCAUUGAAAAGAUAAAGGAAAUCGUGUAUCCAGAGUGAAGAUGGAAUAUCAAUUGACAGGAACCUAUGAAGCUGGCACUUAUUCUGAGAGACAUAUGAAUCUAAAA
Molecule: long non-coding RNA, 278 nt
Organism: Suncus etruscus (white-toothed pygmy shrew)
Lineage: Eukaryota; Metazoa; Chordata; Mammalia; Eulipotyphla; Soricidae
Exons: 4
Source: RefSeq, a predicted model, not a curated record